RNAcentral lists this ribosomal RNA (501 nucleotides) under uncultured Gammaproteobacteria bacterium. RNAcentral describes it as "bacterial SSU rRNA". It matches the Rfam family "Bacterial small subunit ribosomal RNA", at positions 1002 to 1503 of the family's 1533-position model. The record is from RNAcentral. Lineage: Bacteria; Pseudomonadati; Pseudomonadota; Gammaproteobacteria.
AAAGAUUUGGGAGUGCCGCAAGGAACUCGAACACAGGUGCUGCAUGGCUGUCGUCAGCUCGUGUCGUGAGAUGUUGGGUUAAGUCCCGCAACGAGCGCAACCCUUGUCCUUAGUUGCCAGCAUUAAGUUGGGCACUCUAAGGAGACCGCCGGUGACAAACCGGAGGAAGGUGGGGAUGACGUCAAGUCAUCAUGGCCUUUAUGGCCAGGGCUACACACGUGCUACAAUGGUAAGUACAGAGGGAAGCCAACUCGCGAGAGGGAGCCAAUCCCAGAAAACUUAUCGUAGUCCGGAUCGGAGUCUGCAACUCGACUCCGUGAAGUCGGAAUCGCUAGUAAUCGCAGAUCAGCAUUGCUGCGGUGAAUACGUUCCCGGGUCUUGUACACACCGCCCGUCACACCAUGGGAGUUGAUUGCACCAGAAGCAGGUAGCCUGACCGCAAGGGGGGCGCCUACCACGGUGUGGUCAAUGACUGGGGUGAAGUCGUAACAAGGUAGCCGU